CGCUGUUGUACAAGGGGAUGCACAAUCUCUAUUUGGUUGCGGGAAAUAUGUUUUAUUUUCUAAAUUAAGAAAUGACCGAAAACUUUUAAUGUAUCCCGGGUUUCGGACUGUAUCAGCAGACACUUUCAGCUGAGGAUGCCUUCACCGACAGAGCCGACGAUCACAUGUUUGAUCGGGAUGGUGUUAUGUCAUUUUUCCGACUGCUUUACAAACUAACGUUAGCAGGUAAACUUGAAAAAAUAAGCCGUGGCAGAAAGCUUCACCUUUAUCGCAACAUUUGACCGAAAAGACCCGAAAGCUUGUUUUCUGACUACUUUGAUCCGUGUUAAUUCGCUUAUGUGCUGUUUUUGCUUUUCGAUUUUUUAUUUGCUCUGUUCGGAUAAAUUGGAUUGGAUUAAAAAGCUAAAGGACCUUGUCGAGUUGGUGGCUUUGCAUUGGAAAUAGUGCUGAAUAUACCUAACUUGUGGACUGAAUACGAAAAGUCUCUUUAAUGCACAGAAAUAACUGUAUUUGCUUCAUGUUUACGCCGACGAAAUCAACCUGAGGAGUUUAUACUAAGUUUGAGUGCGAUCCGAUAAACCAGCUGUGGCUCGAGCUCACAUCUGUUCUUUAAAUUAGUGUAUCAAGCUGACACUAUUUCGUUUAAAAUCUUCAACAAAAUGCGAUAGACACGGGAAAGCAGUCCACUCAGUUAAAUUGGAUCGGGUAUUUUGGCGUGAGGCCUGCUGGUCGGGCUUUUGCCGGGUGAGAUUUGGGGGUAAGGCCGCGUCAGGUCGCGUUCAGGCCGGCCGUGGGUGACGCGCAGUCCCGGCGCCAGAGGACGAGCUAUGGAGAGGAUGGAGGUGGACCAGUGCGCAGGCGCAGGAGGAGCCCUCCGAAGGUCCAACAGCGCCCCCAUGAUCACGAACGUCAGUGAUGGGACGACAGUAUUCAGCUCUAAUAGUUCGACUCGGUAUCGUCGGAGCAGCGUUUCUGUGAACCCAAGCUGUCCCUCACGGACCCUUCCUCUGUCCCCAUUCUCGCUGUCUUGUGAGAGAUCCGAACACAAGAGACAGAUUGAGAAUAUGGAACUCACUUUGAGAGGAAGUUUACAGAGACUAAGGUAACCAAACACAAAAUUGUGCAUAAAUGAAAGGGUUAUGUAUGUUAUCAAAAUAUUCACUUAUUUUAACUUGAUUUCCUCUCAUCUAAGUGCCUCGCCUGCUGUUCCCUUCCCUCCUGCCAGUCAUUGGCAUGACCAUCUGUCUCCAGUGAGUAUUUCUCUUUGGGUUUCAGGUCAUCAGUUUCAAUCCAUUGUCGUUAUUGUUAUUCACCUCUGUACGUCCCAUGCAGGGAUUCCAUUCCCAGGACAGCGGUGUCACUCCUAAUUCCUCACCCAGUCCAACUCGGAGGUUUCGAGGGUAGGCCUGAGUAAAACUACAGUAUUAGAAUGUAUAUCCUUCAAAUGUCAAUACCAGCAGGAAUUUGGUCUCAUAUUUAGUUGUUUCAAAAUACAAGAGACACAAAUAUCUUUUCUGAACAAAGAUUUUGAUUUGUUUUUGAAUGAACAGAGGAUCUGUGAGCUCUGGAGUGAGAUGGCCAUCAGUUGCACCUUUGAAAAGGAAAGGUAAUGAUUUAUAACCUGUUUCUUCUAAAUGCAUUUGAAAAAGAACAUUAGAAACUUAU
Molecule: long non-coding RNA, 1665 nt
Organism: Sinocyclocheilus anshuiensis
Lineage: Eukaryota; Metazoa; Chordata; Actinopteri; Cypriniformes; Cyprinidae
Source: Ensembl